CAGCUCAUUUACCCUGAUUCUAAAUAUAUGUUUGAAUCAUUGCGUAGGGUUGGUGUAAGAACAAUUUUAUUGUCCAACUUUAAAACCCAUCUCUGGACACUUUUAGAGGCCCUAAAAUGUGAUCAUUGGUUUAAUGUAGUUGUUGUAUCUGCUGAGGUGGGUACCCAUUCAUACAGUAGUUAA
This 183-nucleotide ribosomal RNA is filed under the name Triticum aestivum (bread wheat). Its description in RNAcentral is "partial small subunit ribosomal RNA". Lineage: Eukaryota; Viridiplantae; Streptophyta; Magnoliopsida; Poales; Poaceae. The record is from RNAcentral.